AUUGAACGCUGGCGGAAUGCUUUACACAUGCAAGUCGAACGGCAGCACGGACUUCGGUCUGGUGGCGAGUGGCGAACGGGUGAGUAAUGAAUCGGAACGUGCCCAGUCGUGGGGGAUAACGUAGUGAAAAUUACGCUAAUACCGCAUACGAUCUAUGGAAGAAAGCGGGGGAUCGCAAGACCUCGCGCGAUUGGAGCGGCCGAUAUCAGAUUAGGUAGUUGGUGGGGUAAAGGCCCACCAAGCCAACGAUCUGUAGCUGGUCUGAGAGGACGACCAGCCACACUGGAACUGAGACACGGUCCAGACUCCUACGGGAGGCAGCAGUGGGGAAUUUUGGACAAUGGGCGAAAGCCUGAUCCAGCCAUUCCGCGUGCAGGAUGAAGGCCCUCGGGUUGUAAACUGCUUUUGUACAGAACGAAAAGGUUUCUACUAAUACUAGGAGCUCAUGACGGUACUGUAAGAAUAAGCACCGGCUAACUACGUGCCAGCAGCCGCGGUAA
RNAcentral lists this ribosomal RNA (500 nucleotides) under uncultured bacterium. Its description in RNAcentral is "partial 16S ribosomal RNA". It matches the Rfam family "Bacterial small subunit ribosomal RNA", at positions 30 to 523 of the family's 1533-position model. The record is from RNAcentral.